This 630-nucleotide long non-coding RNA is filed under the name Populus tremula. Its description in RNAcentral is "long non-coding RNA (PTRE_LNC000187)". The record is from RNAcentral. Lineage: Eukaryota; Viridiplantae; Streptophyta; Magnoliopsida; Malpighiales; Salicaceae.
AUCGCCACCUCCUCCCUAUGUAUAUAUCCCCACCACCACCAUCACCUUCACCACCUCCUCCCUACAUCUAUAAAUCCCCACCACCACCAUCUCCAUCACCCCCUCCUCCUUACUACUACAUGUCUCCACCACCACCUUCUCCCUCACCACCCCCUCCUCCAUAUUACUAGACAAAUUAAAUUAUGUUUUUUAUAUUCAUGUAAGUUUUGUUUCGGACAUUAAUUUGUUAAUAAUUUUAUUUUUCUUCUUUUAUCUUGUUUUCAUCCUGUCGUGUCAUCUAAUUUUGAAGAUCUGUUUUGAAUUGCAGAUUAUGUAUUUAUGAAGACAAUAAUGGCUGCAAGAAGCACUGAAAUGAUUUCUUGGUGGCUCAUAUUCAUUCAUUCUGUCUCAAUGAAACGCCCUUCUCAAGAGCUAGGACGAGCAACGUGAACGUGAUGCUUCGCAGUGUUUAUAGAAAGAGACUUUUUCUUUGUUUCAGUUUCAUUAUUCCAUCGGUUCAUGUCUGUAAUGGAGUGAUUAUUUUUGUUGUAUGUUCGCUUCUUUUAUACUUAUUAUUAUUAUACGCCCUUAAAUAUUUCCUCAAGCCCUUCGUCAGCAAUUAUAUUUGAAUUGAAUAUGAUCUCUUCCCGC